This 511-nucleotide long non-coding RNA is filed under the name Homo sapiens (human). Its description in RNAcentral is "non-protein coding lnc-SLC12A7-1:5". Lineage: Eukaryota; Metazoa; Chordata; Mammalia; Primates; Hominidae. The record is from RNAcentral.
CUCAUUCACACACUAACCCACUCAUUCACACACCCACUCAUUUACACACUAACCCACUUGUUCACACACCCGCUCAUUCACACACUAACUCACCCAUUCACACACUAACUCUCCCAUUCAUUCACACAAACACCCACUCAUUCACACACCCACUCAUUUACACACUAACCCACUCGUUCACAUACCCGCUCAUUCACACACUAACCCACUCGUUCACACACUAACUCACCCACUCAUUCACACACUAACUCAUUCACACUCAUUCACACACUAACCCGACUCAUUCACACACUAACCCACUCAUUCACACACACACCCAUUCAUUCACACUAACUCACCCACUCAUUCACACACUAACCCACUCGUUCACACACCCACUCAUUUACACACCAACUCACCCACUCGUUCACACACCCUCUCAUUCACACACUAACUCACCUACUCAUUCACACACUAACCCAUUCAUUCACACACUCACCCACUCAUUCACACACUAACUCACCCACUCGUU